UCCAUCGUGAGGUGGAAUCUGAAGGAAGCCUAGGGCAAAUCAAGCGGUAACUAACAGGAACUGGAUGGUAGGCUGUUAUGACUGGGCAACCUAGCCUUAGAUAGAAUAAUUCGCGUUUGAGCGAAGUGCAUAACAGUAUAUCUGGUCGUAGAUAAUAUAGCAUGCUGU
Molecule: non-coding RNA, 168 nt
Filed under: Legionella jamestowniensis DSM 19215
Lineage: Bacteria; Pseudomonadati; Pseudomonadota; Gammaproteobacteria; Legionellales; Legionellaceae
Source: RNAcentral